CGUCCGCUCUUCGUGUUCACAGCGGACCUUGAUUUAAUGUGCUACAAUUAAGGCACGCGGUGAAUGCCAAGAGCGGUGU
Molecule: microRNA precursor, 79 nt
Filed under: Petromyzon marinus (sea lamprey)
Lineage: Eukaryota; Metazoa; Chordata; Hyperoartia; Petromyzontiformes; Petromyzontidae
Description: microRNA pma-mir-124 precursor
Gene: pma-mir-124
Rfam family: mir-124 microRNA precursor family (bases 5-75)
About the family: The mature ~21nt miRNAs are processed from hairpin precursor sequences represented here, in this case originating from the 3' arm. The bounds of the precursors are predicted based on conservation and base pairing and are not generally known.
Source: miRBase by way of RNAcentral